GAUGAACGCUGGCGGCGUGCUUAACACAUGCAAGUCGAACGGGAAACCUUUUAUUGAAGCUUCGGCAGAUUUAGCUGGUUUCUAGUGGCGGACGGGUGAGUAACGCGUGGGUAACCUGCCUUAUACAGGGGGAUAACAGUCAGAAAUGGCUGCUAAUACCGCAUAAGCGCACAGAGCUGCAUGGCUCAGUGUGAAAAACUCCGGUGGUAUAAGAUGGACCCGCGUUGGAUUAGCUGGUUGGUGGGGUAACGGCCCACCAAGGCGACGAUCCAUAGCCGGCCUGAGAGGGUGAACGGCCACAUUGGGACUGAGACACGGCCCAGACUCCUACGGGAGGGAGCAGUGGGGAAUAUUGCACAAUGGGGGAAACCCUGAUGCAGCGACGCCGCGGGAAGGAAGAAGUAUCUCGGUAUGUAAACUUCUAUCAGCAGGGAAGAUAAUGACGGUACCUGACUAAGAAGCCCCGGCUAACUACGUG
RNAcentral lists this ribosomal RNA (478 nucleotides) under uncultured bacterium. Its description in RNAcentral is "partial 16S ribosomal RNA". It matches the Rfam family "Bacterial small subunit ribosomal RNA", at positions 28 to 507 of the family's 1533-position model. The record is from RNAcentral.